This is a long non-coding RNA of Rhododendron vialii, 1653 nucleotides long. RefSeq lists it as uncharacterized. The transcript is spliced from 2 exons. NCBI's taxonomy places the organism in Eukaryota, Viridiplantae, Streptophyta, Magnoliopsida, Ericales, Ericaceae. The record is from RefSeq and is a predicted model, not a curated record.
GCACAACAACUCACACAACCGCUGACGUCAUCAUCAAAACGACGUCGUUUUGAUUAUUAAAAAAAAAAAAAAAACCCAGGUCCUGCGGCUUUCUCCUUCCUCCCCUUCUCACGAUCAAAAACCCAGCGUUGAAAAAACCCAGAGAGGGGCUCCCACCACCGGCAACCACCACAACCCAACCCAGCGCUCCACCACCGUCGGCUACAGCCACCAUCGGCUUCUAAGCUCUCUGACGUUGUUACCUCUACCACGAAGGUCUCUCUCUCUCUCUCUUCUUGUUUCAGAUAGAUAGAUUAGCCCCACUAUUUCCUCCUCAUCCUCAUCAAUUAGAGGGUUUCAAUUUGAGAAACUGUGCUGCAGCAAAAAAAAAAAAACUAUUUCGAAAAUUUGAGAAACCCCUGAUUUGAAAAUGUGAGAAACCCUAAAUUGGAGUGCUUGUGGUGCUUUGAUAAUCUGAUUUGUUAACCCCAGAAUAGUCGUUUAAUGUGUUGGUAAUCUUUGUAAAUUGAUACCAUUUUGUGCGUCUAUAUGAAUGGUUUGCAAGAACUUGUACAUUUAGUUAAUCAACCACCAAACCACAGUUAGUGGCUUUUGGUAUUGGUUCUCUUUAGGAUUUUGGCUGUUCUAAGGAAGAAUUUUUGUUGUUUGUGGCAUGUUUUUGAACUGGAUCUUUAAGGAGAGAUAAAUCUGAAUUGGGUUUCAUUACUGAUUCCCUAAAUAGUCAAGUUCAAGACCUUAAGGGUAACAUUACUGAUUCCCCAAAGUUCACAAUCACACUUGCUUUUGACUUUUCUAUUAACUCCUUUGCUCCUUUAAUUUGCAAAGGCACUAAAAUCUUUAACUGACUGGUUGACUAAUUGGUGGUGGAGUUUCAAUAAAGAGAAGAUUGCAUUGUGGGUGAUUGUGGUUUCUAGUAAGUAUGAUCUGUGUGAUGGAGCUUGGCUACCCCAUCUUCCAAGUAGGAAAUCAUCCAACUUAUGGAAAGGAAUUUGUUCAGUAGAUGUGGCUGGGAGAGGAUUCUUUGCAAGCUGUAUUCCCAAGAUUAUAGAAGCUCUCCACCCAAAAAGAUGCAAUGAUAGCAGAUAUGGUGGAUAACCAAAACCAAGGACAGUGGAAGUUUCAGUUCAGGAGAAAGUUUGGAAGGGCUAAGAGGGUUUCGAAUGAAUGAAAAUGCUGAAGUUGUGCUAAAAGUGAAAUCUUCUCUGCUGUGUUUGCUGGGCAUACAUCCUGCAAUUUUGAUGUAUCUUCUUUGAUACCUCUUUUUUACUCCCAAACUUGGAGGGCUAAGAGGCUAGAAGUUCCUAUUUUGGCUACAGUUAUUGCAUUCUGCUAGUUCUAAGGCUCUGCAAUGAUAAUGUCCAUUCUCUGCCAUAUGCUGUGAAUGGAGUUACUCAAGUGCUGCCAAGACUUAGUUCAAUUGCUGCUGAUAUGUAUCCUGAGGAGUGGCUAAUUGUGUCCGUUUAUGUAGAAAGUUGUAACGGUUAUGGGCUCAUUCAAUUUUCCCAUUGGAUGUAAUUUUCUUUUCUUUUGUUUCCUUUCCUUGGCCUUUUACUAUGCCUUAUCUUCUGUGGCUAGUAUUUGGUCUCGUCUCGAUGUACCCUUUGUCGAGUUUUUAAUAAAAUCUUGUUGCCGAUCAAGCAACUUGUAUUGCCA